This 406-nucleotide ribosomal RNA is filed under the name uncultured bacterium. RNAcentral describes it as "partial 16S ribosomal RNA". It matches the Rfam family "Bacterial small subunit ribosomal RNA", at positions 29 to 526 of the family's 1533-position model. The record is from RNAcentral.
AUUGAACGCUGGCGGCAGGCCUAACACAUGCAAGUCGAACGAGUGGCGGACGGGUGAGUAAUGUCUGGGAAACUGCCCGAUGGGGGGGGAUAACUACUGGAAACGGUAGCUAAUACCGCAUACCAUCGGAUGUGCCCAGAUGGGAUUGGCUAGUGGGUGGGGUAAAGGCUCACAUAGGCGACGAUCCCUAGCUGGUCUGAGAGGAUGACCAGCCACACUGGAACGGAGACACGGCCCAGAUUCUUACGGGAGGCAGCAGUGGGGAAUAUUGCACAAUGGGCGCAAGCCGGAUGCAGCCAUGCCGCGUGGAGGAAGAAGGCCUUCGGGUGGUAAAGUACUUUCAGCGGGGAGGCGGUACCCGCAGAAGAAGCACCGGCUAACUCCGUGCCAGCAGCCGCGGUAAUAC